Sapajus apella (tufted capuchin) is the source of this 921-nucleotide long non-coding RNA. RefSeq lists it as uncharacterized. The record is from RefSeq and is a predicted model, not a curated record. Lineage: Eukaryota; Metazoa; Chordata; Mammalia; Primates; Cebidae. The transcript has 3 exons.
AAAAAGUCACUUUAGUGGAGUUUACCAAUGUAGGUUGUCUUCUGGUUUCUAUUUCUCCUGAUUUAUUUUCCUUUAGUGAGAAUCUCUAUCUUUUGGCCACGAAAUGACUACUCAGAAUAAAGUCUAUGUGGUUUAGUCUCCCUUGGUGUAGACCAGACCCAUUACUUGCUCCUAAACAACAGAAUAUGGCAAAGGCAAUGGCACGUCGGUCCCAUGAUUAUGUGACGUUAUAUGACUGUGUCUUGCUAGCUGACUGGCUCCACAGACGUUCUGUCUCCCUUGCUGGCUGUGAAGAGGCAAGCUGCCAGAACUCCUAAAGCCACAUGGAACUCAUUGCUGCCAAAAGGAAUUGGGAAGCAAAUCCUUCCCUAGCUGAGCCUCCAGUGAAGAGCCAGUCCUGGCCAACAUCUUGAAUGUAGCCUUGUAAGACCUUCUGCAGAGGACCAAGCUAUGCCGUGCCCAGAUGUGUGACCUGCAGAAAUGCUGAGCUAUUUGCGGAACAGGAAUUCAGAGAUUUAAAGCGUAAGAUGUGCCGUUGCUGGCUUGAAGUUGGAGGGGACCAUACAUCAAGGAAAUGAGGACUUAAAUCCUACAACUUCAAAGAACCGAAUUCUGUCAACAAGAGUGAACCUGGAAGCUGAUUCUUCCCUCCAAUGAGAAUUCAGCCCAGCUGACACCUUUAUUUCCACCUUAUGAUACCUUGAGAAGAAUCCCUGCCCCACCAUGCUGAAAUUUGAUCCACAAAAUUGUGAGCUGAUAAACGGAUGUUGUUUUAAGCAGCUAAGUUGUGGUAAUGUGCCACACAGCAAUAGAAGACUAACAUACAUGGUUAUUUGUAUUAUUGUAGCUAUUUCGUUUGCAUAUUUUAUAAAUAUUCUUUAGUUUGGUUUUAUUAUCUAAUAAACUUUUUCUUAAAAAAGA